This 69-nucleotide transfer RNA is filed under the name Taenioptynx brodiei brodiei. Its description in RNAcentral is "Glaucidium brodiei brodiei tRNA-Met". Lineage: Eukaryota; Metazoa; Chordata; Aves; Strigiformes; Strigidae. The record is from RNAcentral.
AGUAGGGUCAGCUAACUAAAGCUAUCGGGCCCAUACCCCGAAAAUGAUGGCUCAACCCAUCCCCCACUA